AGGACAAACGCUGGCGGGGUGCAUGAGACAUGCAAGUCGAACGAGGUUCCAUCGGGCUUGCUCGAUGGAGUCCUAGUGGCGGACGGCUGAGUAACGCGUAGGUGACCUACCCGGAAGUGGGGAAUAACUGCCCGAAAGGGUGGCUAAUACCGCAUGUGGCCGACGAUUCAUUUCGUCGUCUAAAGGAGCAAUUCGCUUCCGGAGGGGCCUGCGUCCGAUUAGCUAGUUGGUGAGGUAACGGCCCACCAAGGCGACGAUCGGUAGCUGGUCUGAGAGGAUGAUCAGCCAGACUGGGACUGAGACACGGCCCAGACUCCUACGGGAGGCAGCAGUCGGGAAUUUGCCAAUGAGCGAAAGCUUGAGGCAGCAACUCCGCGUGAGGGAUGAAGGCUCGUAGGUCGUAAACCUUCUUUUCUCGAGGAAGAUAACAAGACGGUACCUGAAGGAAUAAGCGACGACUAACUACGUGCCAGACAGCCGACGGUAAUCGUAGACGCGGCUA
This 502-nucleotide ribosomal RNA is filed under the name uncultured soil bacterium. Its description in RNAcentral is "bacterial SSU rRNA". It matches the Rfam family "Bacterial small subunit ribosomal RNA", at positions 26 to 537 of the family's 1533-position model. The record is from RNAcentral.